RNAcentral lists this long non-coding RNA (448 nucleotides) under Prunus persica (peach). RNAcentral describes it as "long non-coding RNA (PPER_LNC005385)". Lineage: Eukaryota; Viridiplantae; Streptophyta; Magnoliopsida; Rosales; Rosaceae. The record is from RNAcentral.
GACUUUUGCAUGAAAUUGAGUCUCCAUCAUUUUGUGGAAUUGUUGAAAUUUCAAACCCACUUCCCCUUUAGUUUUAAGAAGGGAACUUCAGGUCAUUCGAGUGCAAUCAUCUAUGAAAGUGCAAACCAUCGAACCCUAGCCAUAGUGGCAAUUUUAGCAAAGCCCCAAACAUCAGAGUGAAUAAGUGAAAAAGGAAUCAAGCUUUAAUUUGAACUUAAAGGAAACUAAGCAUGAUGGCUCUUAACCAGUUCACAUGUCACACUUAAAACUUGAAUUAUAAAAACUUAAAAAUAAUAAUGCAAACUACUUCUUCAAAUAACCUAACAGGUAUGCCCAAUACGCCUAUAUCAUAACCAAACUUCUUCUCUUUGUUUCUCAGCACUAUCUCCACUAAGCUUGACAGUUUGACCGACUCUUGCUUCACUGCCUGGCGCCAAGCCUAAGUAGU